CAGCCGCCGCGGUAAUACCGGCGGCCCGAGUGGCGGUCACUAUUAUUGGGCUUAAAGCGUCCGUAGCCGGGUUGGGAAGUCCUCCGGGAAAUCUGGCCGCUUAACGGUCAGAAUGCCGGAGGAUACUCCCAGCCUAGGGAGCGGGAGAGGCCGAGGGGAUUCCCGGAGUAGGGGGGAAAUCCUAUAAUCCCGGGAGGACCACCUGUGGCGAAGGCGCUCGGCUGGAACGCGUCCGACGGUGAGGGACGAAGGCCAGGGGAGCAAACCGGAUUAGAUACCCGGGUAGUCCUGGCUGUAAACGAUGCGGACUUUGUGUCGGACAAGCUAAGGGCUUGUCCGGUGCCGCAGGGAAGCCGUUAAGUCCGCCGCCUGGGGAGUACGGCCGCAAGGCUGAAACUUAAAGGAAUUGGCGGG
RNAcentral lists this ribosomal RNA (414 nucleotides) under uncultured microorganism. RNAcentral's name for it is "bacterial SSU rRNA". It matches the Rfam family "Archaeal small subunit ribosomal RNA", at positions 459 to 872 of the family's 1478-position model. The record is from RNAcentral.